CCUACGGGCGGCAGCAGUGGGGAAUCUUCCGCAAUGGACGAAAGUCUGACGGAGCGACGCCGCGUGAGUGAUGAAGGCCCUUGGGUCGUAAAGCUCUGUCAUCAGGGACGAACGGUCACGUCAGGAAAUGGGCGUGAAUUGACGGUACCUGAGAAGGAAGCCACGGCUAACUACGUGCCAGCAGCCGCGGUAAUACGUAGGUGGCGAGCGUUGUCCGGAAUUAUUGGGCGUAAAGCGCGCGCAGGUGGGAUCUUAAGUCUGUUCUGAAAGUUCGGAGCUUAACUCCGUGAUGGGAUGGAAACUGGGAUUCUUGAGUAUCGGAGAGGAAAGCGGAAUUCCCCGUGUAGCGGUGAAAUGCGUAGAUAUGGGGAGGAACACCAGUGGCGAAGGCGGCUUUCUGGACGAUGUCUGACACUGAGGCGCGAAAGCCAGGGGAGCGAACGGGAUUAGAUACCCCAGUAGUC
RNAcentral lists this ribosomal RNA (464 nucleotides) under uncultured Veillonellaceae bacterium. RNAcentral describes it as "bacterial SSU rRNA". It matches the Rfam family "Bacterial small subunit ribosomal RNA", at positions 338 to 795 of the family's 1533-position model. The record is from RNAcentral. Lineage: Bacteria; Bacillati; Bacillota; Negativicutes; Veillonellales; Veillonellaceae.